UGCACAUGUGGGAGCUGAAGCAAGUCGACGGAGAGGGAAAGCAGUGGGUAGAGGUGGAGAAAAUGCCCCACGAGUACUUCCAGAUUUUCUUCAAGGAGAGGACUGCUACGGAUCUCAAGUGCUCCGGGCACGGCGACCUGGUGUACUUCUACAAGGAUUCACACACCCAGGUAUUCAGUCCAUUAUCAAAACUCAUGCACAGCCAGCUUCUGAUUGCCAGCUUCUAACCUGUGAUAAGAUUGCACAGCCCUGAAACAUUCCACAACUAACACAAAACAGUUCAACCUCGCAACUGGGUACUUGCAGGUAUUGGUGUGCGAUUUCUCGAAGAAACAAACCGAGUGGAGGUGGCUUCCCAAGUGUCCGCUCAGCAUGAACUUCUUGAAAUUCUCCAUUCGGGGCCUGUUCCUGGACCCCACUCUGGACGCUUCCGUAUGAUUCAAUCCUAUAUACAUGGUAUAUAUAAAAUAUAUGACAAAAUAAGUAG
This 487-nucleotide long non-coding RNA is filed under the name Physcomitrium patens. Its description in RNAcentral is "long non-coding RNA (PPAT_LNC012819)". Lineage: Eukaryota; Viridiplantae; Streptophyta; Bryopsida; Funariales; Funariaceae. The record is from RNAcentral.